RNAcentral lists this ribosomal RNA (2892 nucleotides) under Pseudomonas rhodesiae. Its description in RNAcentral is "23S ribosomal RNA". It matches the Rfam family "Bacterial large subunit ribosomal RNA". Lineage: Bacteria; Pseudomonadati; Pseudomonadota; Gammaproteobacteria; Pseudomonadales; Pseudomonadaceae. RNAcentral also lists the same sequence under 2 other names. The record is from RNAcentral.
GGUCAAGUGAAGAAGCGCAUACGGUGGAUGCCUUGGCAGUCAGAGGCGAUGAAAGACGUGGUAGCCUGCGAAAAGCUUCGGGGAGUCGGCAAACAGACUUUGAUCCGGAGAUGUCUGAAUGGGGGAACCCAGCCAUCAUAAGAUGGUUAUCUUGUACUGAAUACAUAGGUGCAAGAGGCGAACCAGGGGAACUGAAACAUCUAAGUACCCUGAGGAAAAGAAAUCAACCGAGAUUCCCUUAGUAGUGGCGAGCGAACGGGGACUAGCCCUUAAGUGGCUUUGAGAUUAGCGGAACGCUCUGGAAAGUGCGGCCAUAGUGGGUGAUAGCCCUGUACGCGAAAAUCUCUUAGUCAUGAAAUCGAGUAGGACGGAGCACGAGAAACUUUGUCUGAAUAUGGGGGGACCAUCCUCCAAGGCUAAAUACUACUGACUGACCGAUAGUGAACUAGUACCGUGAGGGAAAGGCGAAAAGAACCCCGGAGAGGGGAGUGAAAUAGAUCCUGAAACCGUAUGCGUACAAGCAGUGGGAGCAGACUUUGUUCUGUGACUGCGUACCUUUUGUAUAAUGGGUCAGCGACUUAUUUUCAGUGGCGAGCUUAACCGAAUAGGGGAGGCGUAGCGAAAGCGAGUCUUAAUAGGGCGUCUAGUCGCUGGGAAUAGACCCGAAACCGGGCGAUCUAUCCAUGGGCAGGUUGAAGGUUGGGUAACACUAACUGGAGGACCGAACCGACUACCGUUGAAAAGUUAGCGGAUGACCUGUGGAUCGGAGUGAAAGGCUAAUCAAGCUCGGAGAUAGCUGGUUCUCCUCGAAAGCUAUUUAGGUAGCGCCUCAUGUAUCACUGUAGGGGGUAGAGCACUGUUUCGGCUAGGGGGUCAUCCCGACUUACCAAACCGAUGCAAACUCCGAAUACCUACAAGUGCCGAGCAUGGGAGACACACGGCGGGUGCUAACGUCCGUCGUGAAAAGGGAAACAACCCAGACCGUCAGCUAAGGUCCCAAAGUUAUGGUUAAGUGGGAAACGAUGUGGGAAGGCUUAGACAGCUAGGAGGUUGGCUUAGAAGCAGCCACCCUUUAAAGAAAGCGUAAUAGCUCACUAGUCGAGUCGGCCUGCGCGGAAGAUGUAACGGGGCUCAAACCAUACACCGAAGCUACGGGUAUCACGUAAGUGAUGCGGUAGAGGAGCGUUCUGUAAGCCUGUGAAGGUGAGUUGAGAAGCUUGCUGGAGGUAUCAGAAGUGCGAAUGCUGACAUGAGUAACGACAAUGGGUGUGAAAAACACCCACGCCGAAAGACCAAGGUUUCCUGCGCAACGUUAAUCGACGCAGGGUUAGUCGGUCCCUAAGGCGAGGCUGAAAAGCGUAGUCGAUGGAAAACAGGUUAAUAUUCCUGUACUUCUGGUUAUUGCGAUGGAGGGACGGAGAAGGCUAGGCCAGCUUGGCGUUGGUUGUCCAAGUUUAAGGUGGUAGGCUGAGAUCUUAGGUAAAUCCGGGAUCUUAAGGCCGAGAGCUGAUGACGAGUGUUCUUUUAGAACACGAAGUGGUUGAUGCCAUGCUUCCAAGAAAAGCUUCUAAGCUUCAGGUAACCAGGAACCGUACCCCAAACCGACACAGGUGGUUGGGUAGAGAAUACCAAGGCGCUUGAGAGAACUCGGGUGAAGGAACUAGGCAAAAUGGCACCGUAACUUCGGGAGAAGGUGCGCCGGUGAGGGUGAAGGACUUGCUCCGUAAGCCCAUGCCGGUCGAAGAUACCAGGCCGCUGCGACUGUUUAUUAAAAACACAGCACUCUGCAAACACGAAAGUGGACGUAUAGGGUGUGACGCCUGCCCGGUGCCGGAAGGUUAAUUGAUGGGGUUAGCUAACGCGAAGCUCUUGAUCGAAGCCCCGGUAAACGGCGGCCGUAACUAUAACGGUCCUAAGGUAGCGAAAUUCCUUGUCGGGUAAGUUCCGACCUGCACGAAUGGCGUAACGAUGGCGGCGCUGUCUCCACCCGAGACUCAGUGAAAUUGAAAUCGCUGUGAAGAUGCAGUGUAUCCGCGGCUAGACGGAAAGACCCCGUGAACCUUUACUAUAGCUUUGCACUGGACUUUGAAUUUGCUUGUGUAGGAUAGGUGGGAGGCUUUGAAGCGUGGACGCCAGUCUGCGUGGAGCCAUCCUUGAAAUACCACCCUGGCAACUUUGAGGUUCUAACUCAGGUCCGUUAUCCGGAUCGAGGACAGUGUAUGGUGGGUAGUUUGACUGGGGCGGUCUCCUCCUAAAGAGUAACGGAGGAGUACGAAGGUGCGCUCAGACCGGUCGGAAAUCGGUCGUAGAGUAUAAAGGCAAAAGCGCGCUUGACUGCGAGACAGACACGUCGAGCAGGUACGAAAGUAGGUCUUAGUGAUCCGGUGGUUCUGUAUGGAAGGGCCAUCGCUCAACGGAUAAAAGGUACUCCGGGGAUAACAGGCUGAUACCGCCCAAGAGUUCAUAUCGACGGCGGUGUUUGGCACCUCGAUGUCGGCUCAUCACAUCCUGGGGCUGAAGCCGGUCCCAAGGGUAUGGCUGUUCGCCAUUUAAAGUGGUACGCGAGCUGGGUUUAGAACGUCGUGAGACAGUUCGGUCCCUAUCUGCCGUGGACGUUUGAGAUUUGAGAGGGGCUGCUCCUAGUACGAGAGGACCGGAGUGGACGAACCUCUGGUGUUCCGGUUGUCACGCCAGUGGCAUUGCCGGGUAGCUAUGUUCGGAAUAGAUAACCGCUGAAAGCAUCUAAGCGGGAAACUAGCCUCAAGAUGAGAUCUCACUGGAACCUUGAGUUCCCUGAAGGGCCGUCGAAGACUACGACGUUGAUAGGUUGGGUGUGUAAGCGCUGUGAGGCGUUGAGCUAACCAAUACUAAUUGCCCGUGAGGCUUGACCAU